RNAcentral lists this ribosomal RNA (305 nucleotides) under Amphitritides sp. AMW24400. Its description in RNAcentral is "eukaryotic LSU rRNA". It matches the Rfam family "Eukaryotic large subunit ribosomal RNA", at positions 42 to 341 of the family's 3401-position model. Lineage: Eukaryota; Metazoa; Annelida; Polychaeta; Terebellida; Terebellidae. The record is from RNAcentral.
AUUACUAAGCGGAGGAAAAGAAACUAACGAGGAUUCCCUCAGUAACGGCGAGUGAAGUGGGAUCAGCCCAGCACCGAAUCCCNCGUNUGUUGGGCGGCGGNAACUGUGGUGUUUGGGACGUCGGNUGCGGCGCUUCGCGUUGUCCGAGUCCUCCUGAUCGGGGCUUCACCCAGAGCGGGUGUCAGGCCUCUACGGCAACGCGCUGCGUCGCUUUAGGCGCCCCUGGAGUCGGGUUGUUUGGGAAUGCAGCCCAAAGUGGGUGGUAAACUCCAUCUAAGGCUAAAUACUGACACGAGUCCGAUAGC